GAAGGUGGCAAGGUUGCUCGGAAUCACUGGGCUUAAAGCGGGCGUAGGCGGUACGGUCAGUCGGGUGUGAAAUCCCUCGGCUCAACCGGGGAACUGCGUCGGAUACUGGGUGGCUUGAAUCCGGGAGAGGGACGUGGAAUUCCAGGUGUAGCGGUGAAAUGCGUAGAUAUCUGGAGGAACACCGGUGGCGAAGGCGGCGUCCUGGACCGGUAUUGACACUGAGGAGCGAAAGCCAGGGGAGCAAACGGGAUUAGAUACCCCGGUAGUCCUGGCCCUAAACGAUGAGUGCUUGGUGUGGCGGGUAUCGAUCCCCGCCGUGCCGGAGCUAACGCGUUAAGCACUCCGCCUGGGGAGUACGGUCGCAAGGCUG
RNAcentral lists this ribosomal RNA (370 nucleotides) under uncultured bacterium. RNAcentral's name for it is "bacterial SSU rRNA". It matches the Rfam family "Bacterial small subunit ribosomal RNA", at positions 527 to 896 of the family's 1533-position model. The record is from RNAcentral.